UAUGGCCAUACCACCCUAAACAUGCCCAAUCUCAUCUGAUCUUAGAAGCUAAGCAGGGUUGAGCCUGGUUAGCACUUGGAUGGGAGAAGUUCAAGGAAGGCCAUCC
This 106-nucleotide ribosomal RNA is filed under the name Jaculus jaculus (lesser Egyptian jerboa). Lineage: Eukaryota; Metazoa; Chordata; Mammalia; Rodentia; Dipodidae. The record is from RNAcentral.